AGUGUUGUGGCUCAGUGAUAGAGCGCUUGCCUAGCAUGCAUUAGACACUGGGUUUGAUCCUCAGCACCACAU
RNAcentral lists this transfer RNA (72 nucleotides) under Ictidomys tridecemlineatus (thirteen-lined ground squirrel). RNAcentral's name for it is "Spermophilus tridecemlineatus (thirteen-lined ground squirrel) tRNA". It matches the Rfam family "tRNA". Rfam says of the family: Transfer RNA (tRNA) molecules are approximately 80 nucleotides in length. Their secondary structure includes four short double-helical elements and three loops (D, anti-codon, and T loops). The record is from Rfam by way of RNAcentral. Lineage: Eukaryota; Metazoa; Chordata; Mammalia; Rodentia; Sciuridae.